GAUGAAUGCUCUUCACUUUCCUUCCAAUUUCUUCGAUCACUCUUGAAUCUUGGAAAAACUUUAUAAUUUUAAGGGUAAUGUUUCUUAGGAAGAUCAGUUACCCAUCUUCCCUAAACAUACAAUGAAGCUUCCAAACAGAAGAGAGAUACACCGAAGAAGAAGAGAAACAGAGCAGAAGGCUUUCAUUGGUACUCAAAACUACAUAUUUAUAAAGAAAUCAUCAGAUUCUGUGUAGAAGCCAAUGACCCAAAUUCAAACCCACACCAAAUUCACACUAACUCCGAUCAAACAAGCUUAUCAGCGAUUAUCCAUUAACAAAUCAUGAACAUUUAAGCCAUCUUAACCUCAAUGGUCCUGGGCUUCUUGGGCGCCGGCGGUGGGAGCUUCUCAACUGUGACGGUCAACACUCCAUCUUGACAAACCGCGGAGAUCUUAUCAGUAUCCGCAUUCUCCGGCAAAGCAAACUUCCUCAUAAACUUCCCCACCCUCCUCUCCAUUAUCACGUGCUUGGCGUCUUCCUUCUCUUCCUCGCGCUUCCUCUCUCCGCUGAUCACCAGCACAUUGUCGUCCUCCACCUGAACCUUGAUGUCGCCGGAUUUCAGCCCCGGCAUGUCGACGAUGAAGGUGAAGGAAUUCGGGUACUCCUUGACGUCCACCGGCGUAGCCGCCAUGGCCUUGGCGUCGCGGACGUAGGUGCGAGUGGGUGCGCUGACGGACUUCUCGGAGUCGUCGGCGGCGUCGAGCUUGUGUUGGAGGGCAGAGAAGAGUGGAGAAUCGAAGCCCAUCAUCCUCAAAUCCAUGUUGGGUUUCAGAGAUUUGUCGUGUCAGAUUGUGAAUAACUGCAAGUGCAACUGCGAAUGUGGAAGUGCCUGAAUGUUGGAGGAAAUCGUAGGUAGUGGUGUGGUUUUUAUAGAAGACAGAGUUGGGAAACAGAGGAAGGUUCUGGAAAGAACAAGAAAGAGGAGAAUUGGGAGUUUGGCUCUGCUGAUUUUGCUCCAAGGGUUCCAGAAACUUGUGGAAGUUUCUUAAAAAUGACGAAAAUACCCCUAUCUUUGUUCAUACCUUUUAUGGAAGUUUUAUUUCAACUUACCCAAUGAUUUACAAAUCUUCUAAAAAUUAUGAUUUUGAUCUAUGCUUAUUUUAGAUACCAAUGCAAAUACGAUCUAAGAUUCACCUCAAUACAAAUUUAUUUAUCAAAAUUUAAAUUUAAAACACCAGAGAUUAAAUUUAAUCAAUACAAAUUCAAUCUCCUACAAAAAAAAAAAAAAAAAAAAAAAAAAAAAAGGACCUUAUGAUAUAGUUGUCAACCAGAGGAAACACCACCUUACUAGCUUUUUUACUUGCCAUGAAAUCUUAAAAUUUUUGCAGGAAAAAAAUGAAAACAGACCAAGGAAAAGAAAAGGUAGACUUUAAUCCUUUAUUGACGGUACUGAAAAUUCAGAACUGCACAUUGCAGUGUAAUGAAGAGAUCACCAUCUUCAUCACGCCUAGCAAUUGACCAAGAUCAAACCCAAACAAAAGCCACCUGGGCACACCCACAAUACCAUAUUGUUUGCUAUUAAAAACCCAGAAAAACAUUCCCAAAACCCUCAAUAUUUCAAGCAAUUUUGACCUCAAUUGUCUUGGGCUUCUUGGGCUCCGGCGGUGGCAGCUUCUCAACAGUGACGGUCAGCACCCCAUCUUGACAAACCGCGGAGAUCUUAUCAGUAUUCGCAUUCUCCGGCAGUACAAACUUCCUCAUAAACUUCCCCACCCUCCUCUCCAUUCUCACGUACUUGGCGCCUUCUUUCUCCUCCUCACGCUUCCUCUCGCCGCUGAUCAUCAGCACAUUGUCGUCCUCCACCUGAACCUUGAUGUCGCCGGAUUUCAGCCCCGGCAUGUCGAUGAUGAAGGAGUAGGCAUUCGGGUACUCCUUGACGUCCGCCGGUGUCGCAGCCAUGGCCUUGGCGUCGCGGACGUAGGUGCGAGUGGGAGCGUUGAGAGAUUUAUCAGAAUCUUCAACGGCGUCGAGCAUGUGUUGCAGGGUUGAGAAUAGUGGAGAAUCAAAAUCCAUGACCCUCAAAUCCAUCCCGCUUUGCAGCGAUUAGUCUGUUAGAUUGGCGACGAUUUGUAAAUGAAAAUGCAGAACUGAUUUUCUGAUGACGAAACCUCGGCCGUGGUGUGGUUUUUAUAGGUGGUGGGUUUGGCUUUGGGAAUAAGAGGAAGUUUCUCGAAGAAGGGAGAAGAGGAACAUCGGUAACUAGCUUCUGGAAGGAUCUAUGGACUUUCUUAGAAGUUACAACGGUAUAAGAAGUUGCUGGAAUGUUCUUUAUUAUUGACUAAAAUGCCCUUCUUUUUUCUUUGUCUUUUUUUGAUAUGUAUGAGAAAUUAAUACAAGAUAUUUUUAUUAGGAGAAAGUCAUAUUUUGUAUGUCAAAAAAAAUUAUUGAUUAUUUAUGUAAGUCAUAUUAUUUUAUCCUUUUAAAUCAAAUAAGUCUAAUAAUUAAUUGGUAAGCAAAAUAAGUCAAAUAAUUUUUGGCUCUCAAAAGGGAUCUAGGCUGAUGUAAAAUCUAUGAUCAAGGAGUUUCGGGCUACAGGAUCUGAAAUUUUAGUUAAUGAAAAUGCA
Molecule: long non-coding RNA, 2604 nt
Filed under: Vitis vinifera (wine grape)
Lineage: Eukaryota; Viridiplantae; Streptophyta; Magnoliopsida; Vitales; Vitaceae
Description: long non-coding RNA (VVIN_LNC000910)
Source: RNAcentral